Molecule: ribosomal RNA, 455 nt
Filed under: uncultured bacterium
Lineage: Bacteria
Description: bacterial SSU rRNA
Rfam family: Bacterial small subunit ribosomal RNA
Source: RNAcentral
UACGGAAGGCAGCAGUGGGGAAUAUUGCACAAUGGGCGCAAGCCUGAUGCAGCCAUGCCGCGUGUAUGAAGAAGGCCUUCGGGUUGUAAAGUACUUUCAGUCGUGAGGAAGGUGUUAAGGUUAAUAACCUUAGCAAUUGACGUUAGCGACAGAAGAAGCACCGGCUAACUCCGUGCCAGCAGCCGCGGUAAUACGGAGGGUGCGAGCGUUAAUCGGAAUUACUGGGCAUAAAGGGCACGCAGGCGGUUAAUUAAGUUGGAUGUGAAAUCCCCGGGCUUAACCUGGGAAUGGCAUUCAAGACUGGUUAGCUAGAGUCUUGUAGAGGGGGUAGAAUUCCAUGUGUAGCGGUGAAAUGCGUAGAGAUGUGGAGGAAUACCGGUGGCGAAGGCGGCCCCUGGGACAAAGACUGACGCUCAUGUGCGAAAGCGUGGGGAGCAAACGAGGAUUAGGAUACC